GAGCCUUGCUGUAGGAGAUGAAUUUGCUAAUUUGUUCCUGCUGCUUCUGCACAGAGUGGGCCUGCGCCUGGCUGCACAGGGUCCAGGCUAACAUUUUCUUUCACUGACUCAAACGAGGACAGAUGACGCCCAUGGUUUAUGGCUCCUCCCUCAUUUGUCCCUGGUCUGUCACAAUCAUUACAUGAUGGACUCUAGGAAAAUAGUCAUUGAGGAAAAAUGGAUGGCAGAGAGAAAAAAUAGAUCUUCUUAAUCCAGCCCUUGUCAGCUGAAAGCACACUCACCAGCCCCUGAGAUGCUCACUUGCCAGGACUUGAGAUACUCUGGCUCUUCUGGAGGGAACUGUUGCAGGAAGACAGAUGUAACAAAGUUAGGGCUUUUCAGAUUGGAAUGGAAGAAGCUGAGAGUCUGUCUC
Molecule: non-coding RNA, 412 nt
Organism: Ceratotherium simum simum (southern white rhinoceros)
Lineage: Eukaryota; Metazoa; Chordata; Mammalia; Perissodactyla; Rhinocerotidae
Source: RefSeq, a predicted model, not a curated record